CAAGUCUUGAAGUGCGCUUUCAAUGUUUUGAAAUAUUGCUUUUAAAUUAGAAAUACAAGAAACCUCCUAUAUAAAUAUCCUAUUUACCUGAUUCCCAUAACUGGAUAAUAAAUGAAAACCUUCAUUAACCCAUAUCUUGCCCUAAAAGUUGAAAAAUUGUCAGUACUGGACAAUGAAUACAACUGUGAACGUAAUCAGAGUUGCUGUAGCAAUUAUUUAAGCUGAAAAAGAUUUCCUAGGGUAUGAAUACAUCUAAUUGAGCUGUAUUUAAAUUCAGUAUGUUUUAUUCUGUUCCAUUAACUCACAGUUUGUAAGCCAAACUUAUAUUUAUUCUACUGCAAAAUUAAUCUUUAGAAAACCAGUACGGCUUUUUCCAGACCAGAACUAUAUAACAGACUACAGAUUGAAGUUUAAUAUACUGUCUUGUUUAUUUUUGUGUGUGUGUUUUUGUUUGUUUGUUUUUUAACCAAGAUUUCAUCUCGUGGAAUGGUUAAAAAAACAUUAUUCAUGGUCUUUUUCAUAUGCCACAUAUUAGAUUCCCUAGUCAAUGUUUUUUCCUAUUAAAAAAAAGAAAAAAAUAAAAAGAAAAAAAAAAAAAACACAUCUCUGAAAAUUGGGACCCUCAAUGUUUUAGGUACAAAACUAGGCUACAUGACAUUCAACAGUGAUGAACAUUUUCAGCUUUUUUGCUGUCACUCAAGGUCUAUUUCUUGUACUAGAACAGACGGGCAGUCUCUUGUUUUACUCUAUCAUAUUUUUGACUCUCCUGUCCUGAAAGCAGGAUAGGAGCUAUUUCAUUACACCUGCAUUGGGUGCUGGCAGUGUUCAGUCCUUAACCCUUCUAUCCAGCAUAUCAGUGAAGGUAGGUUCUGUUCCCUAGCCAGCCUACUUCAAUGCAAGGAGUUUCAUACCCAAAAAGCCUUCAUUUUGAACUCAGUUCCUGGGGCUGACUGAUAGGCAUCUGACUUUCUUGUGGGCACACAGAGCUAUAGGCAGAUUCAGAACAUCAGCUAUUUGUUAUGAUAAAGCUAAACUGAUUUGUUUAAGCCAAUUUGAUUUGUUAGUUAAUUACCAACUUCUGUGUUUUUUUGUUUUUUUGUUUUUUUUUUUUCUUGGAGUUUUGUUCACACUGAGCUGCAGAAACUGCCUACUUACUCAUUUAUCUCUUCCAGUCAGCAACAUAAUGAAUAGCAGCCAACAUCAUUGUAAAGAUGACUGA
This 1219-nucleotide long non-coding RNA is filed under the name Anas platyrhynchos platyrhynchos (common mallard). Its description in RNAcentral is "lncRNA (ENSAPLG00000028377.1)". The record is from RNAcentral. Lineage: Eukaryota; Metazoa; Chordata; Aves; Anseriformes; Anatidae.